Molecule: ribosomal RNA, 404 nt
Filed under: Fusobacteriota bacterium
Lineage: Bacteria; Fusobacteriati; Fusobacteriota
Description: Fusobacteria bacterium partial 16S ribosomal RNA
Rfam family: Bacterial small subunit ribosomal RNA
Source: RNAcentral
UGGGGAAUAUUGCACAAUGGAGGGAACUCUGAUGCAGCGACGCCGCGGGAGUGAUGAAGGAAUUCGUUUCGUAAAACUCUGUUCUAUGGGAAGAAAAGGACUGUACCAUAGGAGAAAGCUCCGGCUAAAUACGUGCCAGCAGCCGCGGUAAUACGUAUGGAGCGAGCGUUGUCCGGAAUUAUUGGGCGUAAAGGGUGCGCAGGCGGCUUUACAAGUUGGAUGUGAAAUAUUGUGGCUCAACCACAAACGUGCAUCCAAAACUGCAAAGCUUGAGUUCAGGCGAGGUAAUUGGAAUUCCUGGUGUAGCGGUGGAAUGCGUAGAUAUCAGGAGGAAUACCGGUGGCGAAUGCGACUUACUGGACUUAAACUGACGCUCAGGCACGAAAGCGUGAGGAGCAAACAGG